RNAcentral lists this ribosomal RNA (424 nucleotides) under uncultured bacterium. Its description in RNAcentral is "bacterial SSU rRNA". It matches the Rfam family "Bacterial small subunit ribosomal RNA", at positions 359 to 775 of the family's 1533-position model. The record is from RNAcentral.
GAAUUUUGGACAAUGGGGGAAACCCUGAUCCAGCCAUCCCGCGUGUGCGAUGAAGGCCUUCGGGUUGUAAAGCACUUUUGGCAGGGAAGAAACGGCACCGGCUAAUACCGGGUGUCACCGACGGUACCUGCAGAAUAAGCACCGGCUAACUACGUGCCAGCAGCCGCGGUAAUACGUAGGGUGCAAGCGUUAAUCGGAAUUAUUGGGCGUAAAGCGAACGUAGGCGGUUUCUUAAGUUUGGUCUUAAAGACCGGGGCUCAACCUCGGGAAUGGACUGAAUACUGGGAAGCUAGAGGAUGUUAGAGGAAAGUGGAAUUCCAAGUGUAGCGGUGAAAUGCGUAGAUAUUUGGAGGAACACCAGUGGCGAAAGCGGCUUUCUGGGACAUUCCUGACGCUGAGGUUCGAAAGCUCGGGGAGCAAACAG